This 253-nucleotide ribosomal RNA is filed under the name uncultured bacterium. RNAcentral describes it as "partial 16S ribosomal RNA". It matches the Rfam family "Bacterial small subunit ribosomal RNA", at positions 524 to 776 of the family's 1533-position model. The record is from RNAcentral.
UACGUAGGGUGCGAGCGUUAAUCGGAAUUACUGGGCGUAAAGUGUGCGCAGGCGGCCGAGCAAGUCGAGUGUGAAAGCCCCGGGCUUAACUUGGGAAUUGCGCUCGAAACUACUUGGCUGGAGUGUGGCAGAGGAAGGUGGAAUUCCAGGUGUAGCGGUGAAAUGCGUAGAGAUGUGGAGGAACACCGAUGGCGAAGGCAGCCUCCUGGGCCAAUACUGACGCUCAUGCACGAAAGCGUGGGGAGCAAACAGG